CGGGGAGUAGCGCAGCCUGGUAGCGCAUCUGCUUUGGGAGCAGAGGGUCGCUGGUUCGAAUCCAGUCUCCCCGA
Molecule: transfer RNA, 74 nt
Organism: Erythrobacter litoralis
Lineage: Bacteria; Pseudomonadati; Pseudomonadota; Alphaproteobacteria; Sphingomonadales; Erythrobacteraceae
Rfam family: tRNA
About the family: Transfer RNA (tRNA) molecules are approximately 80 nucleotides in length. Their secondary structure includes four short double-helical elements and three loops (D, anti-codon, and T loops).
Source: Rfam